RNAcentral lists this transfer RNA (73 nucleotides) under Endogone sp. FLAS-F59071. It matches the Rfam family "tRNA". Rfam says of the family: Transfer RNA (tRNA) molecules are approximately 80 nucleotides in length. The record is from Rfam by way of RNAcentral. Lineage: Eukaryota; Fungi; Mucoromycota; Endogonomycetes; Endogonales; Endogonaceae.
GCCGCUUUAGCUCAGUUGGGAGAGCGUUAGACUGAAGAUCUAAAGGUCCUGUGUUCAAUCCACAGAAGCGGCA